This 408-nucleotide ribosomal RNA is filed under the name uncultured bacterium. Its description in RNAcentral is "partial 16S ribosomal RNA". It matches the Rfam family "Bacterial small subunit ribosomal RNA", at positions 28 to 526 of the family's 1533-position model. The record is from RNAcentral.
GACGAACGCUGGCGGCGUGCUUAACACAUGCAAGUCGAACGGAGUGGCGAACGGGUGAGUAAAAAGUGGGUGAUCUGACUUGCGAUUCGGGAUAAGCAUGGGAAACUGGGUCUAAUACCGGAUAGUGCAAGAGGAGCUCGCGGCCAAUCAGAUUGUUGGUGGGGUAAUGGCCUACCAAGGCGUCGACGGGUAGCCGGCCUGAGAGGGUGUACGGCUACAUUGGGACUGAGAUACGUCCCAUACUCUGACGGGAGGCAGCAGUGGGGAAUAGUGCACAAUGGGCGGAAGCCGUAUGCAGCGACGCCGCGUGGGGGAUGAAGGCCUUCGGGUUGUAAACGCCUUUCGACAGGGACGCGGUACCUGUAUAAGAAGCACCGGCUAACUACGUGCCAGCAGCCGCGGUAAUUC